This is a non-coding RNA of Misgurnus anguillicaudatus (oriental weatherfish), 353 nucleotides long. Lineage: Eukaryota; Metazoa; Chordata; Actinopteri; Cypriniformes; Cobitidae. The record is from RefSeq and is a predicted model, not a curated record.
UGUUGCGGCAUUUAAGUGGAUUGGACUGAGAUGUAAAUUGUGCUCCAGCUUUUGGCACAAGUCCUGCUACUUCAAAUUGUAUGACAAACAGUCAUCAAUGGAUACAAGUUCAGAAGAAGAGCUGUCAGAUGAGGAAUACAUACCAGCGUCAGAGUCAGAGAGUCAGUCAGACAGUUCAGAAGAUCUGACAACAAGAACAAAAAGUCAGGAUCAAGCUAAUCACCCCUCACUAUUAAAGAAGGUUGUCCCCUCACAAUUUAGUUUACCUGUACCCCCCCUGGAUUCAUAUCAAGGCAAAGGAAAACAAAUCUCAAUGGCAAGGGAAGCUGAGUUUGACUUACUUUGUCAUGAAG